Molecule: ribosomal RNA, 460 nt
Filed under: uncultured bacterium
Lineage: Bacteria
Description: partial 16S ribosomal RNA
Rfam family: Bacterial small subunit ribosomal RNA
Source: RNAcentral
CCUACGGGAGGCAGCAGUGAGGAAUAUUGGUCAAUGGGCGCAAGCCUGAACCAGCCAAGUCGCGUGAGGGAUGACGGUCCUAUGGAUUGUAAACCUCUUUUGUCGGGGAGCAAGGCCCGCCACGUGUGGCGGGAAGGAGAGUACCCGAAGAAAAAGCAUCGGCUAACUCCGUGCCAGCAGCCGCGGUAAUACGGAGGAUGCGAGCGUUAGCCGGAUUUAUUGGGUUUAAAGGGUGCGUAGGCGGAAUGUUAAGUCAGCGGUAAAAUGUCGGAGCUCAACACCGGCCAGCCGUUGAAACUGGUCUUCUUGAGUGAGCGAGAAGUAUGCGGAAUGCGUGGUGUAGCGGUGAAAUGCAUAGAUAUCACGCAGAACUCCGAUUGCGAAGGCAGCAUACCGGCGCUCAACUGACGCUGAGGCACGAAAGCGUGGGGAUCGAACAGGAUUAGAUACCCCGGUAGUC